Molecule: long non-coding RNA, 3089 nt
Organism: Phocoena sinus (vaquita)
Lineage: Eukaryota; Metazoa; Chordata; Mammalia; Artiodactyla; Phocoenidae
Source: Ensembl
ACAGCGCUUUUGUGUAAAUGCGGAAUUGAAGUGAAUAAAUAAGAAGUUUCAUGGUGCACAAAAAAAAGCAGGCAUUUUUAUUUUGUUCUUUUUACUGGGGAAAAGCUUUAUUAUACUGUUCAAGAUUUACAAUUUAAAAUUGGCUUUUAUCAUGUCUAACUGAACAUAUGGUGUCCAUAGUUUUACAGUUAGAGAAACUCUGGACAACAACAUUAUGAAAAGCUCAAAGCUUUUUAUGCCCAGAAUUUUUACUAAUGCUAAAAAUGCACAGACUCCUCAUGGAGCAGAGGAAGAUAAACAGCAUUAAAAAAAGAGAGGUGUUGUGCCUGUAUGUGCUUUUCUGAGACGCUACGAGUGAUGCAGUAUUACAAGUUGUUCUUUAGAGUAGUCAAGAGUUAAAGCAUGUUCAGGUAGAAGAACUCAUAAUGAAAAUUAUUUGUAAUGAUGAACAUGAAAAAUCUGAUUUGAACACUGAGCAAGGAAUUGAGGAACCUUUGUUCUGCCAGUUUAUCCCCUAAUUAGCUAAUGAACAUAUGCAUUCCCUCUGAUUUAUCUCAUCUGUAAAAUGAUAGGUGAUUUUAUCUCAAAGCUUAUAUCAAGUUCUAAAAUGUAAAAAUUCUGUGAUUCUUAGAUAUACGAAACGAAUGACACAACUACACAUUGCAUCAAUUCGGAAGCUAUUCUCCCCAACCAGCUAUUGUAAACUGAGGUACUUGAGGUAACAAAACUCAUUUUGCUAUCCCAGUGACACGUCUAACCUCUUACUCACCAAUUAAUGGCCCUCUGUCAUGAAGGCAUGUCAAGAUCCUCUCAUGGUUGGCUGCUGGAAGCUGAGCCACCCACUUUUAUGUUUUAACCAGCAAAGAUCUUAUGGAGGCCACUCUGUGGCACACCCUAGGAAGGCCAGUUAACCAACCAUAUUGAAGUUUGAGUAAAUGUGUGAAGGCACUCCAGUGAGAGCACCCAGCUGGGUAUCUGUACUAGCCUGUAGAGCAUUGCCCCCAAGUUCAUGUCUACUAAGAACCUCAGAAUGUGACCUUAUUUGGAAAUAGGGUCUUUGUGGAUGUAAUCAGUUCGGUUAAAAUGACGUCAUGCUGGAUUACAGUGGACCCUAAAUCCUUAAGAGAAGGCUAUGUAGAGACACAGAGACAGAAGAAGAAGGCUGUGUAAAGAUGGGGACCAAACAAACAAAAAACAAAACAGAGUACCUGGAACCACCAGAAGCUGAAGAGAUGAGGAAGGUUUUUUCUCUGGAGUCUUCAGAGAUAACUUGUCCCUGCUGACCCCUUGAUUUCAGAUAUCUGGCCUCCAAGACUGUGAGAAUAAAUUUCUGUUGUUGUAAACCACCUUGUUUGUGGAACUUUGCUACGGAAGCCCUAGGACACACCAGUAUAGUAUCUUGGAUGUUUUUAUAUCCUUAGCUACUAUCACUGUGCCUGGCAAAUAGGAGGGGCUCUAUACAUUUUUGUUCAGCAUGUAAAUGAUUGAAUUAUAUAUAGGUCGUGAUUAAUUUCAUGGUCUUACCUUGUUUUAGUUAAGCUAGCUGCAGCCUUCAUACUGAAUGCAAAACAGGAAGCAGUGGGAAUGCCACUUAAGAAUGUAAAACGCUGGGGAUAAGCUCCCCUCCUGAACUGCUACUAACUAACAAAGUCAAAGCAUGUAGAAGUGAAGAAAGAGAGGGAAGGAAUGAAGGAAAGAAGGAAAAGAAGAUUGAGAGGGAAAGAAUAUCGAUGCAUCAACAUUAGAGAGAGUGACAAAGGCUUAUGCUUCCUAUGUUAUUCUUUCUUGGAAAUGUAAGAUUUCUCCGUGGAGAAGGAAGAAAGUGAUCAAAGGGUUUGAAGACUUGAACGUUAUAGUGUUAAUUCCAUGUGCAACUCAAGACCAUGUACAACUCAAGAUUGUGGCUUGCCCAUAAUAGGUUCAGAAUAUUUGUUUUUGUGAUUAAAUUACAUUGGUGAGUAUUGCAUAUUUCUGGUGUUCUUUGUGACCCCUCCAAAAUGAUGAUGACGGUGAUGAUGAUGAUGUAUUUGAUUUCAACACCUACUGAUUUAUAGCAGCAGAUGUAGCAAUGUGGUGUGGCAAGUCAGUAGAGCCCGUACGUCAGAACAGUGAUGGAACUGGAAGCAUAAAAGAUUAAAAUUCAUGAAAGACAAGAAAAAGGAGCUUUUUUUUUUCCAUUUUAAGAAUCUUGAUAAAGCUGAUUUUGAUAGAUUCGAAGAAGCAAAGUAAGCUCUUCCCUGCUCUGACGUAUACCAUGCCAAGCUGUCUUAGUCCUGGUCAUCUAGCUUAUUGUCUAAGAAUGCCAGAGAUUUAGUGCCUGUCUUCAGAUCUCCAUCACGGUGAGUGGAGAAGUUGAAAAGAUGCCUGCAGGGAGACAAGAAUGAGUAUGCUUUCUUGGGUCUAGGUGUGGGAAUGUCGAAACUAUCAUCACCUGCUUUCAGCAGCCCUGGUGUGUUGUUUCAUGUCAGUGACAAGUAUUCUGGAAUGCAUUUGAUUUGUGCAAAGAUGUUCCUCAACUUUGUCUACGAGGAGUUAAUGUUUGACUUUGACCUUUCCUAAAGGGAGCUAUUUGUAAGGUGGGAUUGGCCUCUGUUACCUCAGGAGGAAAAAAACAUGUUGGUGACAAGAACAUUUCUAAAUGAAGAGCUUGGAAACUAGGCAAAGCAAAUAUGGUUACUUUGAUUUUUGACACUGCAGCUUCUUUUUUCCUUCAAAAUACAGGUACUCCAUUUUAUGUGAAUUAGAAAAAAUUGUAUAAUUUGUCUAGGAAUUUUAUUUAUCAUUCAAGUACUGAAAGUUCAAUUGUAGGUCCUUCCAAGGAAUUCUGUUAAGACAGAGGCAAAUCUGUGGUAAUGAUCUCAGAAUUCUCUCGCUGAAAAUGUUUCUUGAAGUUUCAAAAGGUACUGCCAUCAAAGAAAAACUGCUUUAGGCAGCUUCUAAGAGGGAGAUUUAACUUAUUCAUUUAAUACUGGACAUUUUUCAGAAGGUCAUGUCAUUCACUGAUUCUUUGUGAUCCUUUCUCCCUCCUUCCCCCAUUCUCCUCCUCACAUGUGGAUUUUCAGAAAUAAACAAUUAUCCUUGGAAAACCU